GACGAACGCUGGCGGCGUGCUUAACACAUGCAAGUCGAGCGGUAAGGCCCUUUCGGGGGUACACGAGCGGCGAACGGGUGAGUAACACGUGGGUGACCUGCCCUCAGCUCUAGGAUAAGCCUGGGAAACCGGGUCUAAUACCGGAUAUGACUCCAUGACGCAUGUUGUGGGGUGGAAAGCCUUGUGCGGCUGAGGAUGGGCCCGCGGCCUAUCAGCUUGUUGGUGGGGUGAUGGCCUACCAAGGCGACGACGGGUAGCCGGCCUCGAGAGGGCGACCGGCCACACUGGGACUGAGACACGGCCCAGACUCCUACGGGAGGCAGCAGUGGGGAAUCUUGCGCAAUGGGCGAAAGCCCUGACGCAGCGACGCCGCGUGAGGGAUGACGGCCUCGG
This 393-nucleotide ribosomal RNA is filed under the name uncultured bacterium. RNAcentral describes it as "bacterial SSU rRNA". It matches the Rfam family "Bacterial small subunit ribosomal RNA", at positions 28 to 420 of the family's 1533-position model. The record is from RNAcentral.